AAUAGAUACCCCGGUAGUCCACGCCGUAAACGAUGUCGACUUGGAGGUUGUUCCCUUGAGGAGUGGCUUCCGGAGCUAACGCGUUAAGUCGACCGCCUGGGGAGUACGGCCGCAAGGUUAAAACUCAAAUGAAUUGACGGGGGCCCGCACAAGCAGUGGAGCAUGUGGUUUAAUUCGAUGCAACGCGAAGAACCUUACCUACUCUUGACAUCCAGAGAACUUAGCAGAGAUGCUUUGGUGCCUUCGGGAACUCUGAGACAGGUGCUGCAUGGCUGUCGUCAGCUCGUGUUGUGAAAUGUUGGGUUAAGUCCCGCAACGAGCGCAACCCUUAUCCUUUGUUGCCAGCGGUUCGGCCGGGAACUCAAAGGAGACUGCCAGUGAUAAACUGGAGGAAGGUGGGGAUGACGUCAAGUCAUCAUGGCCCUUACGAGUAGGGCUACACACGUGCUACAAUGGCGUAUACAAAGAGAAGCGACCUCGCGAGAGCAAGCGGACCUCAUAAAGUACGUCGUAGUCCGGAUUGGAGUCUGC
This 531-nucleotide ribosomal RNA is filed under the name uncultured bacterium. Its description in RNAcentral is "bacterial SSU rRNA". It matches the Rfam family "Bacterial small subunit ribosomal RNA", at positions 777 to 1308 of the family's 1533-position model. The record is from RNAcentral.